AUUGAACGCUGGCGGCAGGCCUAACACAUGCAAGUCGAACGGUAACAGGAAGCCGCCUGCUGCUUCGCUGACGAGUGGCGGACGGGUGAGUAAUGUCUGGGAAACUGCCUGAUGGAGGGGGAUAACUACUGGAAACGGUAGCUAAUACCGCAUAACGUCGCAAGACCAAAGAGGGGGACCUUAGGGCCUCUUGCCAUCGGAUGUGCCCAGAUGGGAUUAGCUAGUAGGUGGGGUAACGGCUCACCUAGGCGACGAUCCCUAGCUGGUCUGAGAGGAUGACCAGCCACCCGGGAACUGAGACAAGGUCCAGACUCCUACGGGAGGGAGCAGUGGGGAAUAUUGCACAAUGGGCGCAAGCCUGAUGCAGCCAUGCCGCGUGUAUGAAGAAGGCCUUCGGGUUGUAAAGUACUUUCAGCGGGGAGGAAGGGAGUAAAGUUAAUACCUUUGCUCAUUGACGUUACCCGCAGAAGAAGCACGGGCUAACUCCGUG
Molecule: ribosomal RNA, 490 nt
Filed under: uncultured bacterium
Lineage: Bacteria
Description: partial 16S ribosomal RNA
Rfam family: Bacterial small subunit ribosomal RNA
Source: RNAcentral